Molecule: ribosomal RNA, 394 nt
Filed under: uncultured bacterium
Lineage: Bacteria
Description: partial 16S ribosomal RNA
Rfam family: Bacterial small subunit ribosomal RNA
Source: RNAcentral
CCUACGGGGGGCAGCAGUGAGGAAUAUUGGUCAAUGGUCGCGAGUCUGAACCAGCCAAGCCGCGUGAGGGAGGAAGGUUCUGUGUAUUGUAAACUUCUUUUGUCAGGGGACAAAGACUGAUACGCGUCCCUGUCUGAAUGUACCGUAAGAAUAAGCAUCGGCUAACUCCGUGCCAGCGGCCGCGGUAAUACGGAGGAUGCGAGCGUUAUCCGGAUUUAUUGGGUUUAAAGGGUGCGUAGGCGGUCGGUUAAGUAAGCGGUAAAAUGUCGGGGCUCAACUCCGGCCUGGCGCUGAUACUGGUGGCCUAGAGUGUGAGAGAAGUAGGCGGAAGGCGUGGUGUAGCGGUGAAAGGCAUAGAGAUCACGCAGAACACCGAUUGCGAAGGCAGCAUACC